This 492-nucleotide ribosomal RNA is filed under the name uncultured bacterium. Its description in RNAcentral is "partial 16S ribosomal RNA". It matches the Rfam family "Bacterial small subunit ribosomal RNA", at positions 29 to 507 of the family's 1533-position model. The record is from RNAcentral.
AGUGAACGCUGGCGGUAGGCCUAACACAUGCAAGUCGAACGGCAGCACAGUAAGAGCUUGCUCUUACGGGUGGCGAGUGGCGGACGGGUGAGGAAUACAUCGAAAUCUACUUUUUCGUGGGGGAUAACGUAGGGAAACUUACGCUAAUACCGCAUACGACCUACGGGUGAAAGCAGGGGAUCUUCGGACCUUGCGCGAUUGAAUGAGCCGAUGUCGGAUUAGCUAGUUGGCGGGGUAAAGGCCCACCAAGGCGACGAUCCGUAGCUGGUCUGAGAGGAUGAUCAGCCACACUGGAACUGAGACACGGUCCAGACUCCUACGGGAGGCAGCAGUGGGGAAUAUUGGACAAUGGGCGAAAGCCUGAUCCAGCCAUACCGCGUGGGUGAAGAAGGCCUUCGGGUUGUAAAGCCCUCUUGUUGGGAAAGAAAGGCAGCAGGAUAAUACACCGAUGUUCUGACGGUACCCAAAGAAUAAGCACCGGCUAACUUCGUG